RNAcentral lists this ribosomal RNA (497 nucleotides) under uncultured bacterium. RNAcentral's name for it is "partial 16S ribosomal RNA". It matches the Rfam family "Bacterial small subunit ribosomal RNA", at positions 28 to 507 of the family's 1533-position model. The record is from RNAcentral.
GAUGAACGCUGGCGGCGUGCCUAAUACAUGCAAGUCGAGCGAACAGACGAGGAGCUUGCUCCUCUGACGUUAGCGGCGGACGGGUGAGUAACACGUGGAUAACCUACCUAUAAGACUGGGAUAACUUCGGGAAACCGGAGCUAAUACCGGAUAAUAUAUUGAACCGCAUGGUUCAAUAGUGAAAGACGGUUUUGCUGUCCCUUAUAGAUGGAUCCGCGCCGCAUUAGCUAGGUGGUAAGGUAACGGCUUACCAAGGCAACGAUGCGUAGCCGACCUGAGAGGGUGAUCGGCCACACUGGAACUGAGACACGGUCCAGACUCCUACGGGAGGCAGCAGUAGGGAAUCUUCCGCAAUGGGCGAAAGCCUGACGGAGCAACGCCGCGUGAGUGAUGAAGGUCUUCGGAUCGUAAAACUCUGUUAUUAGGGAAGAACAAAUGUGUAAGUAACUAUGCACGUCUUGACGGUACCUAAUCAGAAAGCCACGGCUAACUACGUG